RNAcentral lists this ribosomal RNA (460 nucleotides) under uncultured bacterium. Its description in RNAcentral is "partial 16S ribosomal RNA". It matches the Rfam family "Bacterial small subunit ribosomal RNA", at positions 28 to 507 of the family's 1533-position model. The record is from RNAcentral.
GACGAACGCUGGCGGCGUGCUUAACACAUGCAAGUCGAGCGGUAAGGCCUCUUCGGGGGUACACGAGCGGCGAACGGGUGAGUAACACGUGGGUGACCUGCCCUCAGCUCUGGGAUAAGCCUGGGAAACUGGGUCUAAUACCGGAUAUGACCUUUCCUCGCAUGGGGUUUGGUGGAAAGUUUUUUCGGCUGGGGAUGGGCCCGCGGCCUAUCAGCUUGUUGGUGGGGUGAUGGCCUACCAAGGCGACGACGGGUAGCCGGCCUGAGAGGGCGACCGGCCACACUGGGACUGAGACACGGCCCAGACUCCUACGGGAGGCAGCAGCGGGGAAUAUUGCGCAAUGGGCGGAAGCCUGACGCAGCGACGCCGCGUGGGGGAUGACGGCCUUCGGGUUGUAAACCUCUUUCGACCCCGACGAAUUUGGACGGUAGGGGUAGAAGAAGCACCGGCCAACUACGUG